UCCUUAGAUGUUCUGGGCGGCCCGCGCACUACAAUGGCGCUUUCAGCGAGUUCCUAUGUUGAAUUUUCCUGGGUAUUCUUGGAAGCGGCGUCUUGACUUGGGAUAGAUCCUUGUAAUUGUUGGUUUUGAACGAGGAAUUCCUUGUAAUCGCGGUUGAUCAGCUCGCGUUGAAUACGUCCCUGCCCUUUGUACACACCGCCCGUCGCUCCUACCGAUGAAUCGUCCGGUGAAGUUCACAGAGUGGCGGUUCGUGGAGUUGCUCGCGAAGUGAAAUGGACCUCACGAUUUAGAGGAAGGAGAAGUCGUAACA
RNAcentral lists this ribosomal RNA (310 nucleotides) under uncultured eukaryote. RNAcentral describes it as "partial 18S ribosomal RNA". It matches the Rfam family "Eukaryotic small subunit ribosomal RNA", at positions 1470 to 1796 of the family's 1831-position model. The record is from RNAcentral.